RNAcentral lists this ribosomal RNA (301 nucleotides) under uncultured bacterium. Its description in RNAcentral is "partial 16S ribosomal RNA". It matches the Rfam family "Bacterial small subunit ribosomal RNA", at positions 509 to 807 of the family's 1533-position model. The record is from RNAcentral.
CAGUCGCCGCGGUAAUACGUAGGGUGCAAGCGUUAAUCGGAAUUACUGGGCGUAAAGCGUGCGCAGGCGGUUAGAUAAGCCAGAUGUGAAAUCCCCGAGCUCAACUUGGGAACUGCGUUUGGAACUGUUUAACUAGAGUGCGUCAGAGGGGGGUGGAAUUCCGCGUGUAGCAGUGAAAUGCGUAGAGAUGCGGAGGAACACCGAUGGCGAAGGCAGCCCCCUGGGAUGACACUGACGCUCAUGCACGAAAGCGUGGGGAGCAGACAGGAUUAGAUACCCCCGUAGUCCCUGUCUCUUAUAC